This 254-nucleotide ribosomal RNA is filed under the name uncultured bacterium. RNAcentral's name for it is "partial 16S ribosomal RNA". It matches the Rfam family "Bacterial small subunit ribosomal RNA", at positions 524 to 776 of the family's 1533-position model. The record is from RNAcentral.
UACGAGUACCCCAAGCGUUAUCCGGAAUUAUUGGGCGUAAAGGGUGAGUAGGUGGUUUUAUUAGUCGAGUGUUAAAGAUCUGGGGCUCAACCUCGGAUGUGCACUCGAAACGGUAAAACUAGAAUAUGUGAGAGGUAAGCGGAACUCUAUGUGUAGGGGUAAAAUCCGUUGAUAUAUAGGGGAACACCAAAAGCGAAGGCAGCUUACUGGCACAUUAUUGACACUGAAUCACGAAAGCGUGGGUAGCGAUACGG